ACUCCUACGGGAGGCAGCAGUGGGGAAUAUUGCACAAUGGGCGCAAGCCUGAUGCAGCCAUGCCGCGUGUGUGAAGAAGGCCUUCGGGUUGUAAAGCACUUUCAGUCGUGAGGAAGGUAGUGUAGUUAAUAGCUGCAUUAUUUGACGUUAGCGACAGAAGAAGCACCGGCUAACUCCGUGCCAGCAGCCGCGGUAAUACGGAGGGUGCGAGCGUUAAUCGGAAUUACUGGGCGUAAAGCGCAUGCAGGUGGUUUGUUAAGUCAGAUGUGAAAGCCCGGGGCUCAACCUCGGAAUUGCAUUUGAAACUGGCAGACUAGAGUACUGUAGAGGGGGGUAGAAUUUCAGGUGUAGCGGUGAAAUGCGUAGAGAUCUGAAGGAAUACCGGUGGCGAAGGCGGCCCCCUGGACAGAUACUGACACUCAGAUGCGAAAGCGUGGGGAAGCAAACAGGAUUAGAUACCCUGGUAGGAUA
Molecule: ribosomal RNA, 471 nt
Filed under: uncultured bacterium
Lineage: Bacteria
Description: bacterial SSU rRNA
Rfam family: Bacterial small subunit ribosomal RNA
Source: RNAcentral